AAAUGAAUAGACGGGGGCCCGCACAAGCGGAGGAACAUGUGGUUUAAUUCGAUGAUACGCGAGGAACCUUACCCGGGCUUAAAUUGCACAGGAAUAAUUUGGAAACAGAUUAGUCUUCGGACCUGUGUGAAGGUGCUGCAUGGUUGUCGUCAGCUCGUGCCGUGAGGUGUCGGCUUAAGUGCCAUAACGAGCGCAACCCUAAUGGUUAGUUGCUAACAGAUCAUGCUGAGCACUCUAGUCAGACUGCCGUCGUAAGAUGUGAGGAAGGAUGGGAUGACGUCAAAUCAGCACGGCCCUUACGUCCGGGGCUACACACGUGUUACAAUGGGGAGUACAGAGGGCAGCCACCUGGCAACAGGGCGCUAAUCCGUAAAAGCUCCUCUCAGUUCGGAUCGAAGUCUGCAACUCGACUUCGUGAAGCUGGAUUCGCUAGUAAUCGCGCAUCAGCCAUGGCGCGGUGAAUACGUUCCCGGGCCUUGUACACACCGCCCGU
This 493-nucleotide ribosomal RNA is filed under the name uncultured bacterium. Its description in RNAcentral is "bacterial SSU rRNA". It matches the Rfam family "Bacterial small subunit ribosomal RNA", at positions 903 to 1397 of the family's 1533-position model. The record is from RNAcentral.